UACGGAGGAUGCAAGCGUUAUCCGGAAUGAUUGGGCGUAAAGCGUCCGCAGGUGGUUGUGUGUGUCUAUUGUCAAAGCAUCAUGCUUAACAUGAUAAAGGCAGUAGAAACUACACGACUAGAGUGCGUUCGGGGCAGAGGGAAUUCCUGGUGUAGCGGUGAAAUGCGUAGAGAUCAGGAAGAACACCGGUGGCGAAAGCGCUCUGCUAGGCCGCAACUGACACUGAGGGACGAAAGCUAGGGGAGCGAAUGGG
RNAcentral lists this ribosomal RNA (253 nucleotides) under uncultured bacterium. Its description in RNAcentral is "partial 16S ribosomal RNA". It matches the Rfam family "Bacterial small subunit ribosomal RNA", at positions 524 to 776 of the family's 1533-position model. The record is from RNAcentral.